ACAAUAGAGUUGUAUAGAUAUCCUAUCUGAAGAAAGAAGCAGAGUUUUCGUCCAGAAAUAUUUGAUGCCGGAGAGGAUAAUCCCGAGUCCCCGGGACGCUAUCUGUCGGAACAUCUAUCACGGACUACGCACCAGUUGUAAACAGGCAGGAAACAAAUAUCCUUCCGCAGAGAUCCUUAGGAUGCAGCCCAGCAACGUUAGAUCAACUGCUGUUUUCUAUUAAAUCAAUCCGUAAAACGCAGUUUAUUAUGCAAUUAAAGAAAUGGUUCAUUAAUACUUUUGUCAUGCCGGUAAAAAUAAAACUUUUUGGCAUCGGUUUGGAGAUUCUGAAAUGAUGGUACAAUUGUGUGUCAUAGACAUAGGAUGGAUUGAAGCACGCUACAUCCACGGCGAUUCCUAACGCCCGAGGGCUGUUCGGCCGCAUACACCAUACCGGAACACAACUUCCUAUCGGAUUGAAUCUUAAUGACGGAUAAGUGUUGCGUUGCUGAAAUAGUUGUUAUUUUUACGUUUUAGUUUAUGGCCAUUUUCGCCCUUUUAGGCAU
Mizuhopecten yessoensis (Yesso scallop) is the source of this 545-nucleotide long non-coding RNA. RefSeq lists it as uncharacterized. The transcript has 3 exons. NCBI's taxonomy places the organism in Eukaryota, Metazoa, Mollusca, Bivalvia, Pectinida, Pectinidae. The record is from RefSeq and is a predicted model, not a curated record.